Molecule: ribosomal RNA, 301 nt
Filed under: uncultured bacterium
Lineage: Bacteria
Description: partial 16S ribosomal RNA
Rfam family: Bacterial small subunit ribosomal RNA
Source: RNAcentral
CAGUAGCCGCGGGAAUACGAAGGGUGCAAGCGUUACUCGGAAUUACUGGGCGUAAAGCGUGCGUAGGUGGUGGUUUAAGUCCGUUGUGAAAGCCCUGGGCUCAACCUGGGAAUUGCAGUGGAUACUGGGUCACUAGAGUGUGGUAGAGGAUAGUGGAAUUUCCGGUGUAGCAGUGAAAUGCGUAGAGAUCGGAAGGAACAUCUGUGGCGAAGGCAGCCAUCUGGCCUAAUACUGACGCUGAGGUACGAAAGCAUGGGGAGCAAACAGGAUUAGAUACCCCCGUAGUCCCUGUCUCUUAUAC